Heterocephalus glaber (naked mole-rat) is the source of this 1675-nucleotide non-coding RNA. The record is from RefSeq and is a predicted model, not a curated record. NCBI's taxonomy places the organism in Eukaryota, Metazoa, Chordata, Mammalia, Rodentia, Bathyergidae.
CAGGAGAUGAAUUGAGAAGAGAGGCAAUCAAAAUAAACGAACCCUUCUUCCAGGCUGUCAUUGUGAACAGAGUGCUGAAGAAGGACAUCAGGGUGCAUUCCAUUUCAGAACAAAGUGGAUCAUUCAUCAGCCUCAGGGAGGAAAUCAGGAUUGGACUCAGCCUACUAUAUUGAUCCUGGAUGUGCUACUUGGAGCUUGCUAACCACAACACGUGACGUGACGCUUGCCAAGUGUGCUUUGCUACUCCCCUGGAUGCUGUCAGAAGUGUCAGCCGUGUUCUACUCUGAAGCAGUUCUGCAUGCUCCAUGGAAACAGGUGCAACCCACACGUGAGAUGGUGAAGCUUCCGGCCCCUCAUAUUUCAGAUGCUGAAGGAAAGAUUCAGACAAGAAAAGCGUCUUGGUCAAGAUCUGAAGUAUGAACUGUGUGAAAAAUGGAAUUCAGUUUUCCCAACCUUCUCAUUGGCCAAUGUGAAAGUGAGCAACAGGAAAAGAACAACUUGAGGAUCAAAUUCAGGCUGGGGAGAAUAGUGAUAACCCUAACCUUUUCUCAUCAGAGGAUACCCCAGGGAUGUUGGUCCAGAGCUCUGAUAUCGGGAGUGACAUCAAAGGUGACAAGAGGAAAGAACUGUGGAAAUUCUUGAGCCUGGAAAAGCAUACUGGAUAAUACAACGCCAUGAUUGGGGCUGGGAUUGGGGGACAUUUUUCGUGGAAGUAAUUAAGUUGAUUUUUUCAUUAAUAACCAAAAACCAAAAGACAAUGCCAGAGGCAGGAUUCUCUAUUACUCAAACAUGCAUUUAUUGACCAAAUGUUAGCAAUGGUAAUUGCUGUAGCUGUCCUUUGUUUACCCCUAACUCUAUUCCUUUUUUUUGGGGUACCGGGGAUCUAACUCCGGUCCUUGCCAGCUCCUUGCGCUUGCACAGCAGGUGGCGAAACCACUGAGCUAAAUCCCCCCGGCCCCCCUAACUCUAUUCUUGCCAUUCUAUUUCUUCGGAGGAGUAAAUUGAAGUUUAGAGAAGUUAUUUGUCCCAAGCCGCACAGAUAGCACUGCAGAAGUAGGAUUCAACACAGAUGUGUGGAACUCCUAUUUUUUGCUCUCUGUGCUGCAUGUUGGACAUACACAGAAGGAUGCUUGGCUCAGAGCCUCUAGUCCAGGGGGAGGAUGGUGAGGAGAAAAGGUUUCCAGUGUGGCGUUCAGAAGCCCUGACGAGUGCUGCUGAGAAAAUGGAGGCACUGUUUAGAGUGCUUGUUGGUGGAAGAAGCUUUAGGAGCAUUUUCCCAGAGGACUGCGGGUGAGUGAACACUUGAAGAAUGAGGAUUAGGCAGAGGAUGGCAGAAUGAGGCCAGUGAGGAACAGGCUUGGGUGCACUGAGAACAUCUGAGGAGUCCCAGAGAGCCAGAACCCAGGAACAAGGGUCCUUUGUCUAGCUGCAGUGCUGUGCCUGAAGCCAGGGAACUGCUCCUUUUGGGAAGGGGCUGGGCAUGUACAGCUCUCUGUCUAGGUGGGCACAGGGCAGACAGUCACCUUGAAUUAAAUGGACACAGGGAGCACAGCUGACUAGGAGUGACCAGGAAGCCUUCUGACCCUCUUCGUCCUGAACUAUCUGGAAGCCAGAAUACGGUACAGACAGGUUCAGAGAAAGGGGGCAAAUAAAGUGCAUCCUCAUUGUCCAGUAA